CCCUAAAGAUAUUCUCUCUGUUUAAAGAAAUUCUGAGGGUAGUAGCCUAUGUGGCUAAUAACUUAACUCACUAUUUUAUGAAACAUUAUCUAAUCUGUUCCCUGUAUACAUUUGGGAUUAUUAGAUUUAUACCUCACAUCCCAAGUAUUUUUGUUGUCUGUUAUUAAGUAUUUGGGGGGGGCGGGGCAAUGGGGGUUAAGUGACUUGCCCAGGGUCACACAGCUAGUAAGUGUCAAGUGUCUGAGGCCGGAUUUGAACUCAGGUCCUCCUGAAUCCAGGGCUGGAGCUUUAUCCACUGCGCCACCUAGCCGCCCCUGUUAUUAAGCAUUUUAAAACAAAAUCAUUGGUAUAAUAUUGAAUUUAGGAAUAAAAAAGCAUCCACUUAGCAUAAGUACUAGUUAUAUCAAGAUAAGAUUUUUUUGUAAUGAAUUUCUUACUGUUACCAAAGAUUAUAGUCAAUAUUUAAUAAAUGAUAAAUGAAUUUAUCUAUGAUAUAUGAAUCUUCAGAGAUGAAUUCACCUGAAACAUUGAUUACUGGAACUUACUACUUAAGACAUCAUGGGACUGUUAACUGAUAUUGUUUUGACUCUGACUCCAGGUAUGAUCCUUGAGAACUGCUAUUGAGGCAAUGAAUCCAUGAUGCCAGCAACCAUAUGGGGUUGAAAUGCAUAAACUGCAGGUGGAGUUGUCAUGGGAAAGGCUGGGAGAAUGACUUUUUGCAAGGGCUGAGUAGGAUUCUCCUGACUUAAUUUCCCCAAUAUGACAUAUCCCACCUGGCUGAAUUUGGGCCUGGCUCAAUGCAAUUGGCCAUCUGCAUAACUUUUUUUUAAUUAUAAAAGUAUUUUAUCAUCUACAUAACUUUUGCCUAGAAUUAACAUGAAGUUAGGGAAGCAUUAUUCCCUUAAUGUAUAAUUAUGUCCCUAUUCUUUUAUGGCAAAUUUCUACAAUCAUGUCAAAUGUUAUGUGAUGAAUGCAAUAUUGGAUCCUUAUCUCUUAGGUAAAUACCGAAUCACAUCUGUGUUAAUUAAAUGAGAUGCAGGUAUAAUAUUUGAGCAAUUUGGCCUGAAGUUGUUUUUUUUUUAAUUUUUUUUGGUGAGGCAGUUGGGGUUAAGUGACUUUCCCAAGGGUCACACAGCUAGUAAGUGUCAAGUGUCUGAGGCCGGAUUUGAACUCAGGUCCUUCUGACUCCAGGGCCAGUGCUCUAUCCACUACGCCACCUAGUUGCCCCUGGCCUGAAGUUUUAAGCCUUUCUAUAUUCCAAAUAAUUAACAAUUAAGUAUUUAACCUUGACAUAUGGUCCUUUCAUUUUUCAUAAUAGUAUUGGGAUAAUUAGGCAAUUGAUGCAAAGAUUUUUGAAGCCAAGAUAUGAUUUUGUUAUUUAGUUAAUAUCACAAUUGUUUCAGUUCUGUGUUAAAGAAAGGAAUAUCAGCAUAGCUUCGUGUGGUCUGUUUUGCAAAUGCCUUAAAGGGACAUCCACUUGUAUUAGGGGUUAUUAAUUUGAACAUAACUAGAAGUUGUGUUUUACUAUGUUUUAGUAUGCAUGACUUACUUGGUAUGAACUUUUGUAAAAUUAAUCACUAAUUGUAUUUUUGUAUAUCAUCCCCGAAUCUUUUGUUACAAUUGAAGUUAAUCUGGCAACUUUUAUAUGAAUUCAUUUUGUAUUGGAUGCCAUCUUAUAAAAAGGAUUCUGGGAUUUCUUAAUGGAAUCUCAUACUCCUAAUAAGGGAUUGAAUAAUGCCAAGUAAAAAAAUUGGUUUCUAAUUUUCUGUUUCUAUCCGAGUUUUGUAUGUAACAACUAGACAAAAAAUUGUAAAAGCCUAUAGUCUAAAUAAAUUCAGUCUCUAAUGUUAGAGACUUAUGGUUUGAGCCACCUUUACUUAUCUGACCUGGUUAUUGGCAAAGUAAUUUAAAGUUGUGUUAAGAUCGAUUUUGUAGCAGAUUUUUAACUGAGGAAGAGGAUCUAAAGAAGAUAGUUGGGAAGAACUGCUCAGAGAUCACACCCGGAAUAGUGAGAUACACCAAGAUUACGUCCCAAGAGUCAGGCAUCUAUAUGAGAUGAGACUUCAGGAAACAAGUGGACAUUUUUUCGUUGUUUACAUUUUCCCUCUGUGUACAUUAUCUGUAAGGUCUACUUACUAAAGGGGAUAGCCCCCUUUGAUUUUGUCAAUUUCUCCUCUUUUUCCUCUCGCAUUGUUGACCAUCAUAAGCCCCAUAGUUAAGAACCCUUUGUAAAAUAUUUGUAAUAUUAGUUAGUGAUGGGGAAAACUUAGUUUCUCAAUUGGAAUAAAAUGGGAAUUGUGAGAUAUAAUUAUUAGUAAUAUCUGGGGGGACCCUGAGAUAUCCCCUUCUUUCUUAGUCCUUUCUCCCUCCUCCAUUUGCAGUUUAAGUUCUCCUUGAAAGUAAGAUUCAUCUGGGUCAAACCAGACCCAAGCUCACAAAGGAGCCUUGGGUAGAGACAGAUCCUUUUGUCUAGAUAGCCCAAGGUGGGUGGCUAGGUGGCGCAGUGGAUAGAGCACUGGCCCUGGAUUCAGGAGGACCUGAGUUCAAAUCCAGCCUCAGACACUUAACACUUAGUAGCUGUGUGACCCUGGGCAAGUCACUUAACCCCAAUUGCCUCACCAAAAAAAACUCAAAAAAACCAGAUAGCCCAAGGAUGUUAUAGAUGAGAUUAACACACACCUAGAUGGAAAGUAUUUUGGAUCAUGGGGUCUUACAUUCUCUAAUGUCAUCCCUGGACUUCAUUUUAAUAUAACCCACCUCCAGUCAUGCCAACCAAUUAGAUUGAAAUGAUGUUGGCCAAUUAGAUUUGAUUGUUAUGUGACAGACCUCCUCCAGUUGGAAGGGUAUAUGAAGCAAUACACAACCCCCAGGAAGGGUCUUUGGGCUGAGAGAGAUGACCAAAUGACCCCCUUUUAUUAAUAUCCUGCUGGCAUAUUAAUAAAAUGAUUAAAUUACCCAGAAACUAUGUCUCUCAUAUUUUUAAUUGUCACAAAGGAAAAUAUCAAGCAGAGUCAUUAUCUUUUUGUUUACCUUAGAAGAACGUGAAGCAGGAUUGACGAAAGUGUUGAGUUACCUAGGAAUGACCUAAAACUUUUCAUUGACAGUGUAGAUGUGAUAGUGAUGUUAGCAAUGUAAAGUUGAUAAUGAUGGGGAUAUAGCUUCUAAUGGUUAUUAUAGUUUUGACAUGAUUCUGAUAGUGGGGAUGUGAGAGUGUUUUUAGUGAGUGUGUGACAAUGAGUGAUGGGGAUGUCAAAAUGAUGAUGGAGAUCUGAAAAUGAAGUGCUGGUGGUGACCAAUGUAGAUGAUAGGAAUGUAAAUUUGAGGGGGCUGGGAAUGUGACAGUGGUGCUACCAUGUAUCUGACAGCAAAGGGAUGGUUAUGGGAUUUUGACAAUGUUGUUCCUGACUUUUUAAAAGUGAAGGUGGUAAGGACGUGGCAAUGUUGGCUCUAAUGUGACAAUCAAGACAUCAGGAAUGUGAGAGCAAUGUUGGUGUUGUGAAAUUGAUGGUGGUGGAGAUGGCCACAGUCAUCAACAAUGACCAAUUUCAGAAGUCUUAUCAAGGUAGCAUCCAAUUAUAACCAUGAAGUCUGAUGGUGAGGUAUACUUCCAACUUCUCAGGAAAAAUAUGGUGGAUUAAUUGUGGAAUUCAUUUUUAGACGUGGUCAAUAUGUUGAUUUUUUGGUACAAGAUAGGGAUUUAGGGCUAAGUGGAAAAAUGUAAUGUACAUCAUAACAACAAUUGCCUUGGAAAACAAGUCAAAAAUUGGUAUUUAAGAAUCAUUAGAUUUCCUAAAAAGUGAUUUUAAAAGACUUGGACUAUAUAGUACAAGAAUUUAUCAAUGAAAAUUGCCCCAAAUCUUUUAGAAGCAGAGGGCAAAUUACAGAUAAAAAAGAUCUACCAAUCACUUCCUUAAAAGAAUCCAAAGAUUAAAAAGUCCCAAGAACCUCAUAGCCAAUCCCAAACUCUCAAGUCAAAGAAAAAAAUAUUGCAAAUAUCCAGAAAGGAAGAGUUUAAGUAUCAACAAACUUAUGUAAGUACAACCAAUGUAAUGUACACGAUAACAACAAUUGCCUUGGAAAACAAAUCAAAAAGAGGUUCAAUGUGAUUUAAGAAUCACAUUUGUAUAUCACAUUCCAAUCAGGAUAACACAAAACCUGGAAGCUUUUACUAAAAACCAGAAGAGAUCAUGGAAUACAACAUAUCAAAGGACAAAAGUUUAUGGUAUUUGAAGAUAAUGGAAUAUUAUUGGGCCACAAGAAAUUAUGAAAAUAGUUUUAGAAAGUAUGAACUGAUGCAAAGUGAAGUUAAAAAAACAGGUGAACAAUUGAUUGUAAAGUUGUGUUGAAGAUGAUAUGAUGAGGAUGAUAGUAUCAAAAAGAGAACCAUGAUACUUUUUUUAAAAAUAGAACAGAACAGAUUCAAAUUCAUUAGGGGACACAGACAGCAGGAUAGUUUUGAGAGCAAUGUCUAGAAUUAAUUUUAUAAUUUUAAACGUAAAGUAAAGAGUAUGAAAUGAAGAUUCCUGGUUACAUAAAAAAUCCUAUUUUAUGUUCUGAUGGUUGUCUGGAAACAUUAUUUUGCGUGUGUUUGAGUUCAGAACAAAAAGUAUCCAAAAAAGAAAGUAAUGGUUAUGAUCUGAAAGUGAUAGUAGUGGUGAUAUAACAAUGAUAGUCUUGAGAUGAUAGUGAUGGUGUGGCUAUGUGCCAUUGAUGAUUGUGGGGCCAUAGAAGUAAUGGUGAAGGAAAUGUAAAAGAGACUAUGUCAAUUGGAGAGUAAUCAUGGUGGCGAUAUGACAAUUCUAAUGGCAUCAUCCUUGUACAACAGGCUCUGAGGGAAAGACCCUAAUUCUAAGGUGGAUUAAUAGAUUGGAACCCAUUUGCAAACGUGGCCAAUGAAUAUAUGUGAUUUGGUUGAACUACACUUAGUUAUUUACUACUUCUCUUUUCUUAUCCACUCACCCAAUCACGCUGCCUGGUCCAGAUCUAAUAAAAAUGGAUGGGAAGUGACUUGGAGAAAAAGGAGAGAGGUGUCCCUCAUGGCUCCAUCUCAGCAAGCCAUCCAUUGCCACAGAGGAGAGAAAAAGAGAAGAGUCAAAAGAAAAAGCAAUUCAGCCAAAGGAACCAAGGCAUCAGCUAAGAUCGAAGAUGUGCACCACAUUCCAAAUCAACAGCCUCCCACCACUUCCAUGAAGAAAAGGAGGGGUAUCCCUCAUGUUUCCCUACUAACCAGUCAAUCAUUGCCAUGAGAAAGGGGGGGAAGGAAGAGUCAAAAGAAAAAACAGUUCGACCAAAGGAAUCAUCAACUGAGUAGAAAGGUCUAUACUACAUUCCACACCAUGAGUCUCCAACUUCUCAAGUGAAGAGAAGGAGAGAGUGUGGACUUAGUAGAUCUGCAAUCAUACAUGUGUGGUAUGCUGGCUUCCGACCCGAGAGGACCUGGUUGUGAGUCCUCCCUGUCAUCCAGAAUGGCCAUGUGAUCCUGGAUAAGGAACCUCCCUCUGCCAGUGCAGGUCCCUUCAAAUCCCUAAGCCUCCGUUUCCCUACAGAAGUACUGAAACUGCUGGGAUUGUAAAGCCACUGAAGGCCCAGUGAGUUUUACCCUGUCAUGAGUGCCAUUUACUUGAGCUGUGAUGCCAACAUCAAGGUGGCCUAAGACUGCUUCUCUUUGAAAGACUCCCAUGGCUGGCUAAAUUGUGGUAAGGCCCCUUUUCAGCCCUCACAGGAAGCUUUUGGAGGAAAGCUGCCCCAGCCUUGCUGACGUUCAGUUGGGCUCACAGAAUCUGCCCAUUUGAGAGAAAAGCCAAAGUACUCGACCAAAGUCGGCCAGAGCAUCCUCCUUCCUGAGAAUGGCCGACCUCAGAUCAAGAGAUCCUGAGCAGUAGGAAAUGAGGCUCCACAUGCCUCUGGCACCAGGAAAAAGACCAGGUCCUCUGCUCCAAGUGGGGAGAGGGACUUGGGCUCCUGUGAGUCACUCAGUGAGCUUUGAGAACAGUUUCUCUACUAUGCAGGUGUUCGUUUUCGAAGAGGAUCAAUAACAUCACAGAGUGAUAUCUUAACUUGGAAGUGAAUGAGAUUUAAGUGAAGCAGAGUUGCCCAAAGUCAUCAGCCUCACUCUCUCUUCCAGAGUCAUUGAAGUCCAGUGGCAAUACAAAAAGCCCAGGAUGCAGUGAAUGACAGUAGCAUCUCUGAAGUCUGAUCAAGCUCUAAACACUUUAUAGAGCCUGUUUCAGCCACCUUCAUGGCCUUUGGAACCCAAGCAUCGUGCAAGUACAGUACUCAGUACUGAGUGUCCACCUCAAGAAAAGUUUGGGGGACCUCAGACUGGGAAUAGAGCUUAGAACAAUGUCUCUGUUCUUAGAAAAGCUGUCAUUUUAGCUUACUCAUCAGAGAAAUAAAACAUGCAAAUUCUUGGACAAAAUGAUUGGGCCAAAAUUUUUUCAGAGGCUCCUUGUUUAAUCUAAAUUAAGAGUGUACUCUGUUGGCUAAUAUGACAAAAAAGGAAAAUAAUAAAUGUUGGAGAAGCUGUGGAAAAAUUGGAAGACUAAUGUAUUGUUGGUGGAGUUGUGAACUGAUCCAACCAUUCUGGAGAGCAGUUUGGAAC
Molecule: long non-coding RNA, 6601 nt
Organism: Dromiciops gliroides (monito del monte)
Lineage: Eukaryota; Metazoa; Chordata; Mammalia; Microbiotheria; Microbiotheriidae
Exons: 7
Source: RefSeq, a predicted model, not a curated record